UGGGGAAUUUUGGACAAUGGGCGCAAGCCUGAUCCAGCUAUGCCGCGUGAGUGAAGAAGGCCUUAGGGUUGUAAAGCUCUUUCGGUCGGGAAGAAGUGUGUUUGUUUAAGAGAUGAGCAUAUUGACGGUACCGACAUAAGAAGCACCGGCUAACUACGUGCCAGCAGCCGCGGUAAUACGUAGGGUGCGAGCGUUAAUCGGAAUUACUGGGCGUAAAGGGUGCGCAGGCGGUUUCAUAAGUCAGAUGUGAAAGCCCCGGGCUUAACCUGGGAAUUGCGUUUGAAACUAUGAGGCUAGAGUACAGCAGAGGGGGGUGGAACUCCAUGUGUAGCAGUGAAAUGCGUAGAUAUAUGGAAGAACAUCGAUGGCGAAGGCAGCCCCCUGGGCUGAUACUGACGCUCAUGCACGAAAGCGUGGGGAGCAAACAGG
RNAcentral lists this ribosomal RNA (429 nucleotides) under uncultured bacterium. RNAcentral's name for it is "bacterial SSU rRNA". It matches the Rfam family "Bacterial small subunit ribosomal RNA", at positions 355 to 776 of the family's 1533-position model. The record is from RNAcentral.